AAAGUCGUAACAAGGUUUCCGUAGGUGAACCUGCGGAAGGAUUAUUACCUUUCAAUGCAGAAGAGUUGGGAUAGUUGAGUAUCUCGCCUCUUAAUUCUCGCUGUAUUUUACCCUUGUUUUUCUUAUACUAUUAUUUCUUUAGCAGGCUCGCCUGCUGGGUGAAACAACUUUAAACUUGUUUAAUUUUCAAUUAGCGUCUAAACAAAUUAAUAAUUACAACUUUUAAUAACGGAUCUCUUAGUUCUG
Molecule: unclassified non-coding RNA, 246 nt
Filed under: Ascomycota sp.
Lineage: Eukaryota; Fungi; Ascomycota
Description: partial contains small subunit ribosomal RNA and internal transcribed spacer 1
Rfam family: Eukaryotic small subunit ribosomal RNA (bases 1-47)
Source: RNAcentral